This 252-nucleotide unclassified non-coding RNA is filed under the name uncultured Eggerthellaceae bacterium. RNAcentral describes it as "contains 16S-23S intergenic spacer region". It matches the Rfam family "Bacterial small subunit ribosomal RNA", at positions 524 to 776 of the family's 1533-position model. Lineage: Bacteria; Bacillati; Actinomycetota; Coriobacteriia; Eggerthellales; Eggerthellaceae. The record is from RNAcentral.
UACGUAGGGAGCGAGCGUUAUCCGGAUUCAUUGGGCGUAAAGAGCGCGUAGGCGGCCCCUCAAGCGGAACCUCUAACCUCCGGGCUCAACCCGGAGCCGGGUUCCGAACUGGGGGGCUCGAGUCUGGUAGAGGAGGAUGGAAUUCCCGGUGUAGCGGUGGAAUGCGCAGAUAUCGGGAAGAACACCGAUGGCGAAGGCAGUCCUCUGGGCCACGACUGACGCUGAGGCGCGAAAGCUGGGGGAGCGAACAGG